RNAcentral lists this ribosomal RNA (274 nucleotides) under uncultured bacterium. RNAcentral's name for it is "partial 16S ribosomal RNA". It matches the Rfam family "Bacterial small subunit ribosomal RNA", at positions 523 to 796 of the family's 1533-position model. The record is from RNAcentral.
AUACGGAGGGUGCAAGCGUUAAUCGGAAUUACUGGGCGUAAAGCGUACGUAGGCGGCUAGUUAAGUUAGAUGUGAAAGCCCCGGGCUUAACCUGGGAACUGCAUUUAAAACUGGCUAACUAGAGUUAAGUAGAGGGGAGUGGAAUUUCAGGUGUAGCGGUGAAAUGCGUAGAGAUCUGAAGGAACACCAGUGGCGAAGGCGACUCCCUGGACUUGAACUGACGCUGAGGUACGAAAGCGUGGGUAGCAAACGGGAUUAGAAACCCUAGUAGUCC